RNAcentral lists this ribosomal RNA (407 nucleotides) under uncultured bacterium. RNAcentral describes it as "partial 16S ribosomal RNA". It matches the Rfam family "Bacterial small subunit ribosomal RNA", at positions 30 to 526 of the family's 1533-position model. The record is from RNAcentral.
AUUGAACGCUGGCGGCAGGCCUAACACAUGCAAGUCGAGCGGAUUCGCCGACGGGUGAGUAAUGCCCAGGACUCUGCCUCUUAGUGGGGGAUAACGUUCGUUAACGGGCGCUAAUACCGCAUACUAUCAGAUUUGCCUAGGUCGGAUUAGCUAGUUGGUGGGGUAAAGGUCUACCAAGGCGACGAUCCGUACCUGGUCUGAGAGGAUGAUCGGUCACACUGAAACUGAGACACGGUCCAGGCUCCUACGGGAGGCAGCAGUGGGGAAUAUGGGACAAUGGGCGAAAGGCUGAUCGAGCCAUGCCGCGUGUGUGAAGAAGGUCUUGGGAUUGUAAAGGACUGUAAGUUGGAAGGCGUUAGCGGCAGAAUAAGCACGGGCGAACUUCGUGCCAGCCGCGGCGGUAAGAC